RNAcentral lists this ribosomal RNA (724 nucleotides) under uncultured Fusobacterium sp. RNAcentral describes it as "bacterial SSU rRNA". It matches the Rfam family "Bacterial small subunit ribosomal RNA", at positions 28 to 776 of the family's 1533-position model. Lineage: Bacteria; Fusobacteriati; Fusobacteriota; Fusobacteriia; Fusobacteriales; Fusobacteriaceae. The record is from RNAcentral.
GAUGAACGCUGACAGAAUGCUUAACACAUGCAAGUCGACUCGAGUCUUCGGACUUGGGUGGCGCACGGGUGAGUAACGCGUAAAGAACUUGCCUCUUAGACCGGGACAACAUCUGGAAACGGAUGCUAAUACCGGAUAUUAUGGUUUUUUCGCAUGGAGGAAUCAUGAAAGCUAGAUGCGCUAAGAGAGAGCUUUGCGUCCCAUUAGCUAGUUGGUGAGGUAACGGCCCACCAAGGCAAUGAUGGGUAGCCGGCCUGAGAGGGUGAACGGCCACAAGGGGACUGAGACACGGCCCUUACUCCUACGGGAGGCAGCAGUGGGGAAUAUUGGACAAUGGACCACAAGUCUGAUCCAGCAAUUCUGUGUGCACGAUGACGUUUUUCGGAAUGUAAAGUGCUUUCAGUCGGGAAGAAGUCAGUGACGGUACCGACAGAAGAAGCGACGGCUAAAUACGUGCCAGCAGCCGCGGUAAUACGUAUAUCGCAAGCGUUAUCCGGAUUUAUUGGGCGUAAAGCGCGUCUAGGCGGCAAGGAAAGUCUGAUGUGAAAAUGCGGAGCUCAACUCCGUAUGGCGUUGGAAACUGCCUUACUAGAGUACUGGAGAGGUAGGCGGAACUACAAGUGUAGAGGUGAAAUUCGUAGAUAUUUGUAGGAAUGCCGAUGGGGAAGCCAGCCUACUGGACAGAUACUGACGCUGUAGCGCGAAAGCGUGGGUAGCAAACAGG